RNAcentral lists this ribosomal RNA (400 nucleotides) under uncultured bacterium. RNAcentral's name for it is "bacterial SSU rRNA". It matches the Rfam family "Bacterial small subunit ribosomal RNA", at positions 355 to 772 of the family's 1533-position model. The record is from RNAcentral.
UGGGGAAUAUUGGACAAUGGGCGAAAGCCUGAUCCAGCCAUGCCGCGUGAGUGAUGAAGGCCUUAGGGUUGUAAAGCUCUUUUAUCCGGGAAGAUGAUGACGGUACCGGAAGAAUAAGCUCCGGCUAACUUCGUGCCAGCAGCCGCGGUAAUACGAAGGGAGCUAGCGUUGUUCGGAAUUACUGGGCGUAAAGCGCGCGUAGGUGGCUUUGCAAGUCAGAGGUGAAAUCCCAGAGCUUAACUCUGGAAUUGCCUUUGAAACUGCGAAGCUUGAGUACUGGAGGGGAUGGUGGAAUUUCUAAUGUAGCGGUGAAAUGCGUAGAUAUUAGAAGGAACACCGGUGGCGAAGGCGACCAUCUGGACAGUAACUGACACUGAGGCGCGAAAGCGUGGGGAUCAAA